Molecule: ribosomal RNA, 648 nt
Filed under: Lactobacillus gasseri
Lineage: Bacteria; Bacillati; Bacillota; Bacilli; Lactobacillales; Lactobacillaceae
Description: bacterial SSU rRNA
Rfam family: Bacterial small subunit ribosomal RNA
Source: RNAcentral
CAAGUCUGUUGGAGCAACGCCGCGUGAGUGAAGAAGGGUUUCGGCUCGUAAAGCUCUGUUGGUAGUGAAGAAAGAUAGAGGUAGUAACUGGCCUUUAUUUGACGGUAAUUACUUAGAAAGUCACGGCUAACUACGUGCCAGCAGCCGCGGUAAUACGUAGGUGGCAAGCGUUGUCCGGAUUUAUUGGGCGUAAAGCGAGUGCAGGCGGUUCAAUAAGUCUGAUGUGAAAGCCUCCGGCUCAACCGGAGAAUUGCAUCAGAAACUGUUGAACUUGGGUGCAGAAGGGGAGAGUGGAACUCCAUGUGUAGCGGUGGAAUGCGUAGAUAUAUGGAAGAACACCAGUGGCGAAGGCGGCUCUCUGGUCUGCAACUGACGCUGAGGCUCGAAAGCAUGGGUAGCGAACAGGAUUAGAUACCCUGGUAGUCCAUGCCGUAAACGAUGAGUGCUAAGUGUUGGGAGGUUUCCGCCUCUCAGUGCUGCAGCUAACGCAUUAAGCACUCCGCCUGGGGAGUACGACCGCAAGGUUGAAACUCAAAGGAAUUGACGGGGGCCCGCACAAGCGGUGGAGCAUGUGGUUUAAUUCGAAGCAACGCGAAGAACCUUACCAGGUCUUGACAUCCAGUGCAAACCUAAGAGAUUAGGUGUUCC